GUGAGGAAUAUUGGUCAAUGGGCGGGAGCCUGAACCAGCCAAGUCGCGUGAAGGAAGAAGGAUCUAUGGUUCGUAAACUUCUUUUGCAGGGGAAUAAAGUGCAGGACGUGUCCUGUUUUGUAUGUACCCUGAGAAUAAGGAUCGGCUAACUCCGUGCCAGCAGCCGCGGUAAUACGGAGGAUCCGAGCGUUAUCCGGAUGUAUUGGGUUUAAAGGGUGCGUAGGUGGUUUGAUAAGUCAGCGGUGAAAGUUUGCAGCUUAACUGUAAAAAUGCCGUUGAAACUGUCGGACUUGAGUGUAAAUGAGGUAGGCGGAAUGCGUGGUGUAGCGGUGAAAUGCAUAGAUAUCACGCAGAACUCCGAUUGCGAAGGCAGCUUACUAAGCUACAACUGACACUGAAGCACGAAAGCGUGGGGAUCAAACAGGAUUAGAAACCCGGGUAGUCC
Molecule: ribosomal RNA, 445 nt
Filed under: uncultured bacterium
Lineage: Bacteria
Description: partial 16S ribosomal RNA
Rfam family: Bacterial small subunit ribosomal RNA
Source: RNAcentral